AUACGAUCUAGCGUAUGGUCCAUUCUGAUCCUUUAUCCCCAACAGCAUAUGACACACUCCGACUCCCCAGCGAAGUCGGCAGCCUAAUGGAUGACUCAUUAUUCGGUCUAAUGUACGACCCAGUGUGGCAUCCAUGUCUUCAAAUUGGCCUAAUGUACGGCUCGAUCUGAAGCUUUCGUCAUCAAACCUCCCGGAUGGCAUCUUUAAGCCCAUCUCCAUCAAGACCAACUGUCGAUCCUCAAGUGCAA
Molecule: long non-coding RNA, 248 nt
Filed under: Lathyrus oleraceus (garden pea)
Lineage: Eukaryota; Viridiplantae; Streptophyta; Magnoliopsida; Fabales; Fabaceae
Description: Pisum sativum (pea) long non-coding RNA (PSAT_LNC027689)
Source: RNAcentral